UAUGUCCAAUUUUCUGAGGAACCGCCA
Molecule: non-coding RNA, 27 nt
Filed under: Mus musculus (house mouse)
Lineage: Eukaryota; Metazoa; Chordata; Mammalia; Rodentia; Muridae
Source: RNAcentral